Molecule: small RNA, 101 nt
Filed under: Sinorhizobium meliloti 2011
Lineage: Bacteria; Pseudomonadati; Pseudomonadota; Alphaproteobacteria; Hyphomicrobiales; Rhizobiaceae
Description: putative ncRNA
Source: RNAcentral
CGGCACCUUCUCUCCGCCAGCGGGGCGAAGGGGACUCGUUGCGCCAACGGCUUGUUCCUUCUCCCCGUCUAAAACGGGGAGAAGGUGCCGGCAGGCGGAUG